UCCUACGGGAGGCAGCAGUGAGGAAUAUUGGUCAAUGGGCGGGAGCCUGAACCAGCCAAGCCGCGUGAAGGAAGAAGGCGCCAGGCGUCGUAAACUUCUUUUGUCGGGGAACAAAGGGCGCCACGCGUGGCGUUGUGAGUGUACCCGAAGAAAAAGCAUCGGCUAACUCCGUGCCAGCAGCCGCGGUAAUACGGAGGAUGCGAGCGUUAUCCGGAUUUACCGGGUGUAAAGGGAGCGUAGGCGGUUUAGCAAGUCAGAAGUGAAAGCCCGGGGCUCAACUCCGGGACUGCUUUUGAAACUGUUGA
RNAcentral lists this ribosomal RNA (305 nucleotides) under uncultured bacterium. Its description in RNAcentral is "bacterial SSU rRNA". It matches the Rfam family "Bacterial small subunit ribosomal RNA", at positions 337 to 639 of the family's 1533-position model. The record is from RNAcentral.